Molecule: long non-coding RNA, 892 nt
Organism: Oncorhynchus nerka (sockeye salmon)
Lineage: Eukaryota; Metazoa; Chordata; Actinopteri; Salmoniformes; Salmonidae
Exons: 2
Source: RefSeq, a predicted model, not a curated record
CAUUAUACUUUUGUUUCUGAAGGUGAUGAACGAGGAAAUAACAGUAGGAGGAAGAGAACUCAAGUCUGCACUAUGCUAUAAGGAUGUGACCUUGCUGGGGAGUUCAAGUUGGAUAUGGCUGGAGAGUAUGAUGUGUCAAUGUUUUUAUAAACCCGAAGUCAAUAGGAGGAGAAGUUAUUCAAUUUGAACAAGUUGCAAUUUCCAUGCACCUUGUGAAUGUAUUUUUAUACUAUGCACAGUGUUUAAUGUGUCAUGUAUUUUUAUACUAUGCACAGUGUUUAAUGUGUCAUGUAUUUUUAUACUAUGCACAGUGUUUAAUGUGUAAUGUAUUUUUAUACUAUGCACAGUGUUUAAUGUGUAAUUUUUUCUGCUCUAGUAUGUUGUGUUUUCCAGUGGAAAUAAAGCUUGUACAGUAUAUUGUAAAUAAUUGUUGGAAAUGUUGUUUCUUUUCUCUGGAAGAGAAAUUGUGUUGUUUAGAUUACACAGCCGUUGUGUUUCAACGGUCUGUCUCAUGAUGGUCAUUGAUCUACCUGAGCUUUAGCUGGGUGUUUUGUGUCAUGUAGAAGUGGCCACAGUGGGGGUACUGCUCAUUGUAAGGUUCUGCUUUACUUUUUUUAGUCAACCUUGUGUUCUUUUUCUUUGUGUUCUUGAACCAUAGCCCUGUUCCUUUGUGUUCUGGAACAUAGCCCUGACUUUCAUUUUCUUCAUUGAUUUCACCUGUGUUCGUUUCUCACCUGGUCUCAUCAGCUCCAUAUUUAGUUCAGUUCUUUCUGUUUGUAUGGUUGUGAGGUAUUGUUUGUUUUUGACUGCCUACCUGUGUUUGACCAUUGCCUGUGACCACGAUUCCUGCCUUCUGCAUAAACAUCUCCCGCGCUCUGCGCGUUAAUCUACA